GAUGAACGCUGGCGGCGUGCCUAAUACAUGCAAGUCGAGCGAACAGACAAGGAGCUUGCUCCUUUGACGUUAGCGGCGGACGGGUGAGUAACACGUGGGUAACCUACCUAUAAGACUGGGAUAACUUCGGGAAACCGGAGCUAAUACCGGAUAAUAUUUCGAACCGCAUGGUUCGAUAGUGAAAGAUGGUUUUGCUAUCACUUAUAGAUGGACCCGCGCCGUAUUAGCUAGUUGGUAAGGUAACGGCUUACCAAGGCGACGAUACGUAGCCGACCUGAGAGGGUGAUUGGCCACACUGGAACUGAGACACGGUCCAGACUCCUACGGGAGGCAGCAGUAGGGAAUCUUCCGCAAUGGGCGAAAGCCUGACGGAGCAACGCCGCGUGAGUGAUGAAGGUCUUCGGAUCGUAAAACUCUGUUAUUAGGGAAGAACAUACGUGUAAGUAACUAUGCACGUCUUGACGGUACCUAAUCAGAAAGCCACGGCUAACUACGUGCCAGCAGCCGCGGUAAUACGUAGGUGGCAAGCGUUAUCCAGAAUUAUUGGGCGUAAAGCGCGCGUAGGCGGUUUUUUAAGUCUGAUGUGAAAGCCCACGGCUCAACCGUGGAGGGUCAUUGGAAACUGGAAAACUUGAGUGCAGAAGAGGAAAGUGGAAUUCCAUGUGUAGCGGUGAAAUGCGCAGAGAUAUGGAGGAACACCAGUGGCGAAGGCGACUUUCUGGUCUGUAACUGACGCUGAUGUGCGAAAGCGUGGGGAUCAAACAGGAUUAGAUACCCUGGCAGUCCACGCCGUAAACGAUGAGUGCUAAGUGUUAGGGGGUUUCCGCCCCUUAGUGCUGCAGCUAACGCAUUAAGCACUCCGCCUGGGGAGUACGACCGCAAGGUUGAAACUCAAAGGAAUUGACGGGGACCCGCACAAGCGGUGGAGCAUGUGGUUUAAUUCGAAGCAACGCGAAGAACCUUACCAAAUCUUGACAUCCUUUGACAACUCUAGAGAUAGAGCUUUCCCCUUCGGGGGACAAAGUGACAGGUGGUGCAUGGUUGUCGUCAGCUCGUGUCGUGAGAUGUUGGGUUAAGUCCCGCAACGAGCGCAACCCUUAAGCUUAGUUGCCAUCAUUAAGUUGGGCACUCUAAGUUGACUGCCGGUGACAAACCGGAGGAAGGUGGGGAUGACGUCAAAUCAUCAUGCCCCUUAUGAUUUGGGCUACACACGUGCUACAAUGGACAAUACAAAGGGCAGCGAAACCGCGAGGUCAAGCAAAUCCCAUAAAGUUGUUCUCAGUUCGGAUUGUAGUCUGCAACUCGACUACAUGAAGCUGGAAUCGCUAGUAAUCGUAGAUCAGCAUGCUACGGUGAAUACGUUCCCGGGUCU
This 1372-nucleotide ribosomal RNA is filed under the name uncultured bacterium. Its description in RNAcentral is "bacterial SSU rRNA". It matches the Rfam family "Bacterial small subunit ribosomal RNA", at positions 28 to 1381 of the family's 1533-position model. The record is from RNAcentral.